This 31-nucleotide non-coding RNA is filed under the name Mus musculus (house mouse). Lineage: Eukaryota; Metazoa; Chordata; Mammalia; Rodentia; Muridae. The record is from RNAcentral.
UAUAGUCAGGGACCAUGUCCUUCCUGGCCUA